RNAcentral lists this ribosomal RNA (446 nucleotides) under uncultured bacterium. Its description in RNAcentral is "SSU rRNA". It matches the Rfam family "Bacterial small subunit ribosomal RNA", at positions 26 to 518 of the family's 1533-position model. The record is from RNAcentral.
AGAACGAACGCUGGCGGCAGGCCUAACACAUGCAAGUCGAACGCCUGUAGCAAUACAGGAGUGGCAGACGGGUGAGUAACACGUGGGAACGUGCCCAAAGGUACGGAACAACUCCGGGAAACUGGAGCUAAUACCGUAUGUGCCCGAAAGGGGAAAGAUUUAUCGCCUUUGGAUCGGCCCGCGUCUGAUUAGCUAGUUGGUGAGGUAAUGGCUCACCAAGGCGACGAUCAGUAGCUGGUCUGAGAGGAUGACCAGCCACACUGGGACUGAGACACGGCCCAGACUCCUACGGGAGGCAGCAGUGGGGAAUAUUGGACAAUGGGCGCAAGCCUGAUCCAGCCAUGCCGCGUGAGUGAUGAAGGCCCUAGGGUUGUAAAGCUCUUUCGCCAGGGACGAUAAUGACGGUACCUGGAUAAGAGCCCGGCUAACUUCGUGCCAGCAGCCGC